GGUCUAUUGACAUUCAGGGAUGUGGCCAUAGAAUUCUCUCAGGAGGAGUGGAAAUGCCUGGACCCUGCUCAGAGGACUCUAUACAGGGACGUGAUGCUGGAGAAUUAUAGGAACCUGGUCUCCCUGGGUGAGGAUAACUUCCCUCCAGAAGUGGGGAUGUGCCCUUGUGUAUCUUUGUAUUUUCUCUUUUUUUAGAUACAGUGUCUUGCUCUUCCACCCAGGGUGGAGUGCAAUGGUGUGAUCAUGGCUCACUGCAAUCUUGAAUUCCUGGGUUCAAGUGAUUGUCCCACCUCAGCCUCCCCCGGUAGCUGGUACAGGUGCAUGCCACUAUGCCGGGCUACUUUCUUAGUUUUUUUUUUUUUUUUUUUGUAGUUGUUGUUUCUGUUUUUGUUUACAGACAAGGUCUUCCUGUGUUGUUGA
This 420-nucleotide small RNA is filed under the name Pongo abelii (Sumatran orangutan). RNAcentral's name for it is "retained intron". The record is from RNAcentral. Lineage: Eukaryota; Metazoa; Chordata; Mammalia; Primates; Hominidae.